This 268-nucleotide long non-coding RNA is filed under the name Amphimedon queenslandica. RNAcentral's name for it is "uncharacterized LOC109588229". Lineage: Eukaryota; Metazoa; Porifera; Demospongiae; Haplosclerida; Niphatidae. The record is from RNAcentral.
AUUGGAAACGGGCCGUAGCAAUGCUAGUUGAUAGUACCGUAAAUAAUUUUUCUAAUUACUCGUAUGUAAAAUUAAAAUGGCUGAAAGUUGAAAAAGGUAACCCUUCAAUAAUGUUGAGAGACAUUCUUCCUGUUUGCCCAAGCUGUCUGCUGUAGCAAUGUAUCUGUUUGCAGUUUAAAUUCAGUGUUUUAUGAAUUAGCAAUCAUUAUUGAUCACAUUUACUAUAUUUAGUUCUAUAUUUUGAUUUGUACAACCUAUUGAAUAGAAA